GGUAGUGUGGCCGAGCAGUCUAAGGCGCUGGAUUUAGGCUCCAGUCUCUAAGGAGGCGUGGGUUCAAAUCCCACCACUGCAAUCU
This is a non-coding RNA of Oncorhynchus mykiss (rainbow trout), 85 nucleotides long. Lineage: Eukaryota; Metazoa; Chordata; Actinopteri; Salmoniformes; Salmonidae. The record is from the annotation of a RefSeq genome assembly.